Molecule: ribosomal RNA, 1340 nt
Filed under: human oral metagenome
Description: bacterial LSU rRNA
Rfam family: Bacterial large subunit ribosomal RNA
Source: RNAcentral
UAGCGAGCUUAACCGAAUAGGGGAGGCGUAGGGAAACCGAGUCUUAAUAGGGCGAUUAGUUGCUGGGCGUAGACCCGAAACCGGAUGAUCUAUCCAUGGCCAGGAUGAAGGUGCGGUAACACGCACUGGAGGUCCGAACCCACUAGUGUUGAAAAACUAGGGGAUGAGCUGUGGAUAGGGGUGAAAGGCUAAACAAAUCCGGAGAUAGCUGGUUCUCUCCGAAAGCUAUUUAGGUAGUGCCUCACGUAUCACCUUCGGGGGUAGAGCACUGUUUAGGCUAGGGGGUCAUCGCGACUUACCAAACCUAUGCAAACUCCGAAUACCGAAGAGUGCGAGCGUGGGAGACAGACAUCGGGUGCUAACGUUCGGUGUCGAGAGGGAAACAACCCAGACCGCCGAUUAAGGUCCCCAAGCCAUAGUUAAGUGGGAAACGAGGUGGGAAGGCUCAGACAGCCAGGAGGUUGGCUUAGAAGCAGCCAUCCUUUAAAGAAAGCGUAACAGCUCACUGGUCGAGUCGUCCUGCGCGGAAGAUGUAACGGGGCUUAAACUAUGCACCGAAAUCGCGGAUAUGUACUUGUACAUAUGGUAGGAGAGCGUUCCGUAGGCCGUUGAAGGUGGCUUGUAAAGGCUGCUGGAGGUAUCGGAAGUGCGAAUGCUGACAUGAGUAGCGAUAAAGCGGGUGAAAGGCCCGCUCGCCGAAAGCCCAAGGUUUCCUGCGCAACGUUCAUCGGCGCAGGGUGAGUCGGCCCCUAAGGCGAGGCUGAAAAGCGUAGUCGAUGGGAAACUGGUUAAUAUUCCAGUACCUCUAUGUAAUGCGAUGGGGGGACGGAGAAGGUUAGGUCAGCCGGGUGUUGGACGUCCCGGUUCAAGCGUGUAGUCGUGCCUGGUAGGCAAAUCCGCUAGGCUAAGAUGAGGCGUGAUAACGAGUGGUCUUGUACCGCGAAGUGAUUGAUACCCUGCUUCCAAGAAAAGCCUCUAAGCUUCAGUUACAUAGAGACCGUACCGCAAACCGACACAGGUGGGCAGGAUGAGAAUUCUCAGGCGCUUGAGAGAACUCGGGAGAAGGAACUCGGCAAAUUAGCACCGUAACUUCGGGAAAAGGUGCGCCCCGUUAGGUUGUAGCAACUUGCUUGCGAAGGCCGAUGGGGUUGCAGUGAAAAGGUGGCUGCGACUGUUUAACAAAAACACAGCACUCUGCCAACACGAAAGUGGACGUAUAGGGUGUGACGCCUGCCCGGUGCCGGAAGGUUAAGUGAUGGGGUGCAAGCUCUUGAUCGAAGCCCCGGUAAACGGCGGCCGUAACUAUAACGGUCCUAAGGUAGCGAAAUUCCUUGUCGGGU